AUGAACGCUGGCGGCGUGCGUAAUACAUGCAAGUCGAGCGAACAGACGAGGAGCUUGCUCCUCUGACGUUAGCGGCGGACGGGUGAGUAACACGUGGAUAACCUACCUAUAAGACUGGGAUAACUUCGGGAAACCGGAGCUAAUACCGGAUAAUAUAUUGAACCGCAUGGUUCAAUAGUGAAAGACGGUUUUGCUGUCACUUAUAGAUGGAUCCGCGCCGCAUUAGCUAGUUGGUAAGGUAACGGCUUACCAAGGCAACGAUGCGUAGCCGACCUGAGAGGGUGAUCGGCCACACUGGAACUGAGACACGGUCCAGACUCCUACGGGAGGCAGCAGUAGGGAAUCUUCCGCAAUGGGCGAAAGCCUGACGGAGCAACGCCGCGUGAGUGAUGAAGGUCUUCGGAUCGUAAAACUCUGUUAUUAGGGAAGAACAAAUGUGUAAGUAACUAUGCACGUCUUGACGGUACCUAAUCAGAAAGCCACGGCUAACUACGUG
This 496-nucleotide ribosomal RNA is filed under the name uncultured bacterium. RNAcentral describes it as "partial 16S ribosomal RNA". It matches the Rfam family "Bacterial small subunit ribosomal RNA", at positions 29 to 507 of the family's 1533-position model. The record is from RNAcentral.